This 505-nucleotide ribosomal RNA is filed under the name uncultured bacterium. RNAcentral's name for it is "partial 16S ribosomal RNA". It matches the Rfam family "Bacterial small subunit ribosomal RNA", at positions 28 to 507 of the family's 1533-position model. The record is from RNAcentral.
GACGAACGCUGGCGGCGUGCCUAAUACAUGCAAGUAGAACGCACAGUUUAUACCGUAGCUUGCUACACCAUAGACUGUGAGUUGCGAACGGGUGAGUAACGCGUAGGUAACCUGCCUGGUAGCGGGGGAUAACUAUUGGAAACGAUAGCUAAUACCGCAUAAUAUUAAUUAUUGCAUGAUAAUUAAUUGAAAGGUGCAAUUGCACCACUACCAGAUGGACCUGCGUUGUAUUAGCUAGUAGGUGAGGUAACGGCUCACCUAGGCGACGAUACAUAGCCGACCUGAGAGGAUGAUCGGCCACACUGGGACUGAGACACGGCCCAGACGCAUACGGGAGGCAGCAGUAGGGAAUCUUCGGCAAUGGACGAAAGUCUGACCGAGCAACGCCGCGUGAGUGAAGAAGGUUGUCGGAUCGGAAAGCUCUGUUGUAAGAGAAGAACGGGUGUGAGAGUGGAAAGUUCACACUGUGACGGUAUCUUACCAGAAAGGGACGGCUAACUACGUG